UCACCGCUUGCGCGGGCAGUCUCAUUAGAGUCCCCAGCUUUACCUGAUGGCAACUAAUGAUAGGGGUUGCGCUCGUUACGGGACUUAACCCAACACCUCACGGCACGAGCUGACGACAGCCAUGCAGCACCUAGUUUCGCGCCCUUGCGGGAAGAUCCCUUUCAGGACCGGUCGCUAACUUUCAAGCCCAGGUAAGGUUCCUCGCGUAUCAUCGAAUUAAACCACAUGCUCCUCCGCUUGUGCGGGCCCCCGUCAAUUCCUUUGAGUUUCAACCUUGCGGUCGUACUUCCCAGGUGGAUAACUUAAUGCUUUCGCUUAGUCGCUGACUGUGUAUCGCCAACAACGAGUUAUCAUCGUUUAGGGCGUGGACUAC
Molecule: unclassified non-coding RNA, 373 nt
Filed under: uncultured Sphingobacteriales bacterium
Lineage: Bacteria; Pseudomonadati; Bacteroidota; Sphingobacteriia; Sphingobacteriales
Description: contains 16S-23S intergenic spacer region
Source: RNAcentral